This 67-nucleotide transfer RNA is filed under the name Flavobacterium sp. GT3P67. RNAcentral's name for it is "tRNA-Arg". Lineage: Bacteria; Pseudomonadati; Bacteroidota; Flavobacteriia; Flavobacteriales; Flavobacteriaceae. The record is from RNAcentral.
AAGUUAAUUGGUUAGAGCACCUGCCUUCUAAGCAGGCGGUCGGUCACAGGUUCGAAUCCUUCUGCCA